RNAcentral lists this ribosomal RNA (253 nucleotides) under uncultured bacterium. Its description in RNAcentral is "partial 16S ribosomal RNA". It matches the Rfam family "Bacterial small subunit ribosomal RNA", at positions 524 to 776 of the family's 1533-position model. The record is from RNAcentral.
UACGUAGGUGGCAAGCGUUGUCCGGAUUUAUUGGGUUUAAAGGGUGCGUAGGCGGCUUUGUAAGUCAGUGGUGAAAUAUGGCAGCUCAACUGUCAAGGUGCCAUUGAUACUGCAGAGCUUGAGUACAGAUGAGGUAGGCGGAAUUGACGGUGUAGCGGUGAAAUGCUUAGAUAUCGUCAAGAACACCGAUAGUGAAGACAGCUUACCAAGCUUCAACUGACGCUGAGGCACGAAAGUGUGGGGAUCAAACAGG